GUGAGGAAUAUUGGACAAUGGAUGGAAAUCUGAUCCAGCCAUGCCGCGUGCAGGAAGACGGCCCUAUGGGUUGUAAACUGCUUUUAUACGGGAGCAAUAAGGUCUAUGCAUAGAUUGAUGAGAGUACCGUAUGAAUAAGCAUCGGCUAACUCCGUGCCAGCAGCCGCGGUAAUACGGAGGAUGCGAGCGUUAUCCGGAUUUAUUGGGUUUAAAGGGUGCGUAGGCGGCUUUAUAAGUCAGCGGUGAAAUUUUGCAGCUUAACUGUAAAAGCGCCGUUGAUACUGUGAAGCUAGGAUUUGGUUGCUGUGGGCGGAAUGUGUGGUGUAGCGGUGAAAUGCAUAGAGAUCACACAGAAUAUCGAUUGCGAAGGCAGCUCACAAAGCCAAUAUUGACGCUGAGGCACGAAAGUGUGGGGAUCAAACAGGAUUAGAAACCCGGGUAGUCC
RNAcentral lists this ribosomal RNA (445 nucleotides) under uncultured bacterium. RNAcentral's name for it is "partial 16S ribosomal RNA". It matches the Rfam family "Bacterial small subunit ribosomal RNA", at positions 354 to 796 of the family's 1533-position model. The record is from RNAcentral.